CUAGCCGUAAACGAUGGAUACUAGGUGUUAGAGGUAUCGACCCCUCUAGUGCCGUAGCUAACGCAUUAAGUAUCCCGCCUGGGGAGUACGGUCGCAAGACUGAAACUCAAAGGAAUUGACGGGGGCCCGCACAAGCGGUGGAGCAUGUGGUUUAAUACGUCACUAACCGUAGAACCUUACCCAGGCUUGACAUCUGGUGUAAGUCCAUGAAAGUGGUACCCCUGUAUGGUAACAUACAGCUCCAAGACAGGUGU
This 254-nucleotide ribosomal RNA is filed under the name uncultured Armatimonadota bacterium. Its description in RNAcentral is "uncultured Armatimonadetes bacterium partial 16S ribosomal RNA". It matches the Rfam family "Bacterial small subunit ribosomal RNA", at positions 796 to 1041 of the family's 1533-position model. Lineage: Bacteria; Bacillati; Armatimonadota. The record is from RNAcentral.